This is a long non-coding RNA of Papaver somniferum (opium poppy), 2550 nucleotides long. RefSeq lists it as uncharacterized. The transcript is spliced from 13 exons. The record is from RefSeq and is a predicted model, not a curated record. NCBI's taxonomy places the organism in Eukaryota, Viridiplantae, Streptophyta, Magnoliopsida, Ranunculales, Papaveraceae.
CAUUUUUCCUGAGUCUCACUCUCACUCUCCAUUUCUUCGGUCAUAUCUCCACCACCACCACCACCACCACCAUCACCAUCACCGUCAAACGACAUCUCUUCUUCUACUACGAUGACCACCAUCACCUUUAUCAUCUCCGUCUUCUCAUAUUCAUCUUCUCUGUUGUUAAAAUUAACUGACCCAUCUAAAUGGAUGAAUCAAACCCUUAGGUAAUGUGUUUUAUCAACUUUCCUUGUUGUUGCCAUUGAUUGACUGUUUUGUGUAUGCAUGUCUGAGAGAGAGAGACAGGGAGGGAAAGCUUAAGGAUGUACAUAUGUUUAGAUCCAUGUGAUGGAUAUGAUAUGAUUAAUUUGAUGGACAACAUGUAAUUGAGGUUUCUCAUAUGAUUUCGGAACUUUGCUCGAGCCAUAGGUUUAUGAAUGACUAAAGAGGGCAGUGAAUAUAUGUAUUGAGUUUCGUGAUUAUACUUCAAAACUACUCCUAUAGUACAAGUUAACUACUAGUAGUUGAAUAGCAUCGGGAAGCAGUGGAGCUGCUAACGAAAUGUUUAAGAUUGAUACAUUCCAGAUAUCGAGAAUUUCAUCUCUUUAAAGUAGUAGUAGAAGAAGAAUAAUAGGUUUUUGGGUAAAGCAUACAUUCCAGAUAUCGAGAAUUCUUCCUCAGAACCACCACCGGCGAAUGGAUAUUGAACAAGUGAUUGAGUUUUUAGCUCAUGUUCCGUUGCUACAGCGGCUUCCGGGUUCAUCUUUUGCUGAGAUCGUAAAAAUAGUGCAGUUCAAACAUUACAACCGUGGCGAGUUCAUCGUUCGGGUGGGAGACGCCGGAGAUGGAAUUUACUUCAUUUGGGAAGGAGUGGUAAGAGAAAUGAAAAUUGAUUCUAUAGGAUUCCUAAUUUUUGGUUUUGGUUAAUUUGUUUAUGCAGAGCUAAUGUUACUAGGGUUCAUUUCAUUGCUACUGACGAUAGGACAAGUGUCCAUCUCAAAGAUUUGCAUCCCACAGAGUGUUGCUAAUACUUGGCAUCCAUGUAGCAAGCAACAAGAAUAUGACUUGUACAACAUUGGCAGCGUCACAACAGCAUUUCAUAAUACUGAUUCCCAUGAAGCACUCCCGGCCGUAGACUUGUCUCUAAUUCAUCGUAUCCACUUUCAAGUCAUUGGCGCGCUUUAGCUGGAGGAGGAGACUAUGAUGGGAAUAAAGUGCCACUUGUGUCACCAUAUGGAAUUCAUCAGCUACAUAUCUUCAUAUUUCUUUCAAUUUUCAGUACUCAUUGGAGUUUGCAUUAGUCACCCUGCAAAAGCUUUCAGCUCCUACUAACGAGGAUGAUGUGAUGGAUACACACAAAAAGUUGAUGAAUGAUCUAGGAAGGAUUUCUCAAGAUGGAUAUAACUCAAAUGUUUCUUUUGUCAAUGCAACAGUCAAGGGUCUGCGCUUUGUUUUGGAGCAGCUUCAGAUAAAACCAUUCGAGGUUUUCUUGCUGGAGAAACUAUGUAUGGUUUGCUGAAGUAACCUUUGCUAGCAGCUGGAAGGCUUGUUCCAGAAACUACAUAAUGAUAUCAUUGCCAUGUGUUUCGCCAGCAUUGCAGAAAUGUCUUAAACAUGAGAGCCGAUAAAAGUUCGCCAACAGUAGUAGGCGCCUCUCUGUGCUGUAACGAUUGUAUAGCCCUGAAAAACCCUAGAUCAAGAACGUUCGUGUCGGGACUUUGUGAAGUUGACUUGGGCAUAUUCAGAGCUUCAGCAAUGGACCUUAUGCUAGUACGUUGUCGCAAUGGUAUUUCCAUAAUCUUGCUUAAAUCAACCUUCCUGGGUUUAGGACCAACUCUGGUUGGUUUUCGUGAAGACACGUCAAAAGGAAAACAAGGGCUUGAAUCCGUCUCCUCCAGCUCUUUGUUGUUCAUACUGAACUUCAUCUCCUCCAGCUCUUUAUUGUUCAUACUGAACUCCAUCUCCUCCAUAUCUUCGUUGUUCAUCAUGUACUCCUCCUCCAGUUCUUCGUUGUUUGUAAUGAACUCAAUCCCAUCCAUCUCCUCGUUGUUCAUCAUGUACUCCUCCAGUUCUUCGUUGUUCGUAAUGAACUCAAUCUCCUCCAGCUCCUCGAUUAUCACCAUCACCUUAAUUAAUUCUAAAGGCUCCCAAAAGAGGUGUAAAGGCCCUAGUUAUAAUGAAUUCUUCAUUACAGUUUGUAAUCCUACAUGUGCAGUGUUUUACAUCUGCUACUAUGCUUCACAACUUAAGAUGAUUUCAAAAUGAGAUGGAGUACAUGCGUACAUAUGAAUCACCUGAAGUUUAUGAGUGAAGAGAGAUCUCAGAUUGAAUCUCCUGAGUGAAGAUAUAUCUCAGAUUAAAUCACCUGAAGAGAGAUCUCAAUUUGAUUUCGGAACCUUGUUUUUGUAAAAACCAAAUUAAUCUGAAGUUCAGUAUACUUUUGAUUUUUCUUGUAGAGAUCAAAGUGAUUUUUAGAAAUUUUGAAAUUCGAACGAAUGAAUAUUGAGAAAUCCGACCAAACAGAUAUGUUGGGUUUCUGUAUUGAAAAUGAAAUUUGGUUUUGUCAGA